Molecule: ribosomal RNA, 250 nt
Filed under: Corynebacterium silvaticum
Lineage: Bacteria; Bacillati; Actinomycetota; Actinomycetes; Mycobacteriales; Corynebacteriaceae
Description: partial 23S ribosomal RNA
Rfam family: Bacterial large subunit ribosomal RNA
Source: RNAcentral
ACUUAGGUUGAAAACUGAGGGGAUGAGCUGUGGGUAGGGGUGAAAGGCCAAUCAAACUCCGUGAUAGCUGGUUCUCCCCGAAAUGCAUUUAGGUGCAGCGUUGCGUGUUUCUUGCUGGAGGUAGAGCGGGACUACAAUCUUAGCAAUGUCAGCCAAACUCCGAAUGCCGGUAAUGUUAUAGCGUGGCAGUGAGACUGCGGGGGAUAAGCUCCGUUGGUCGAGAGGGAAACAGCCCAGAUCGCCGGUUAAG